Molecule: ribosomal RNA, 216 nt
Filed under: Glomeromycotina sp.
Lineage: Eukaryota; Fungi; Glomeromycota
Description: partial small subunit ribosomal RNA
Rfam family: Eukaryotic small subunit ribosomal RNA (bases 40-216)
Source: RNAcentral
GGGUCAGUAGGUUGGUCGUGCCACCGGUACGUACUGGUCUAACUGAUUCCUCCUUCCUGAAGAACCGUAAUGCCAUUAAUUUUGUGUUGCGGGGAAACAGGACUGUUACUUUGAAAAAAUUAGAGUGUUUAAAGCAAGCUAACGCUUGAAUACAUUAGCAUGGAAUAAUGAAAUAGGACGAUCGAUCCUAUUUUUCUGGUUUCUAGGAUUGACGUA